UUGCAAAUGUGACUAACUUCAUGUCGUAUUAAUUCCACAGAGCUCGGUUGUGGGUAGUGCGGCACCCUUACUCCUUCAGAAUCUGUCUCACCUACCUUUGGUACAGCAGCAGUUGAUGAAGUUUGAAAAUACCCACACUAAUAAUAAGCCUGGCUUGCUGGGAGACCCUCCCACCAUGGUGCUGCAGCCUGCACUGGCAAUAGGGCCACCACUGCCUCUGAAAACCGACCUGGGACACCAUGGAGACACACACAAAGCAUCCAAUCUGAUUCCAACUCAAACAACACUGGCAGCUGGGCUGGGCAUGUUGCCAUUCUUCCCACACCAGCUCACUGCUGGACAAGCUGGGCUGGGCCGUGGGACCACUCAGGAGAAGCAGUCAGCCUCAGCGGGCAUCACCGAAGCUAGUUUCUCAGGGUCGCAGCAGUAUCUGCAGACCUUCCCAGGCCUUCCUGCUGGAGGCCCGCUGACAGGCCACCAGAAAACACAACAGAGCCAGCCAAAAGGCGCAGAGGUUGCCUCUAAGAAUCAGACUUCACUCUUGGGAGAACCACCAAAAGAAAUUCGGCUCAGUAAAAAUCCUUAUUUGAAUUUGGCCAGUGUGUUGCCCAGUGUGUGCCUAUCUACUGCAAGUAAAGGCACACCACAGAAGACUGGAAUUGCUAGCAACAUUCUGGAUGCAAUCUCUCAGGGAAAUGAGUCCCAGCACGUACUGGAGAAAUGCAUCACUUAUUCUCCACCUUUCGAGGAUUAUGCCCAGGUGUCCUCUCUGAGAAAUGAGAAGCGAGGCUCCUCCUAUCUCAUCUCGGCCCCAGAAGGGGGUCCAGUAGAACUCGCUGGCCAGCACCCUCAGGACACAGGAGUGAGCUACACAGAAUCCUACUUGAAAAAGAAGCGUGUGUACUGA
Molecule: long non-coding RNA, 907 nt
Filed under: Cricetulus griseus (Chinese hamster)
Lineage: Eukaryota; Metazoa; Chordata; Mammalia; Rodentia; Cricetidae
Description: lncRNA (ENSCGRG00000025043.1)
Source: RNAcentral